This is a non-coding RNA of Ictidomys tridecemlineatus (thirteen-lined ground squirrel), 603 nucleotides long. The record is from RefSeq and is a predicted model, not a curated record. NCBI's taxonomy places the organism in Eukaryota, Metazoa, Chordata, Mammalia, Rodentia, Sciuridae.
UGUGCCCAUGGCUGCACUCCAAGCUGGAGAGGAGGAGGCAAGAGGAGCCGGGCCUCAUCAGCCAGAGGCGCUGGGUGAUGUGCAUCCGGGUAGGAUUGGUUGUCAAGGAGAAGGGCAUUCUGGGAGUGGCCUGGAGCAGUCAGGGGGCCCUCCUGGCAGAGGCAGUGAUGAGCUGGAGGCCCCCCUCCUCCUUUGGUUAUUUUGGGGCCUCUAGAGAGUGAGGUGGAGAAGAGGGCAUCUCUGGUCCAGGACAGGAAGCGGGAAGAACCCUGGCUGGGGUAGCGUUAUGAUUUGAAAAUUGAAUCCCAUCCAAACAAUAUUUGAGCACCAACUGUAUGUAAGACCCGAUUCUAGGACGUGAGUUGAUUCAGAUCUGGACCAAGACUCCCGAGCAAAAGCUGAGGUUUAUAUGAGGAUUCUAGUGCCACUGAGAGGAGGAUAAAAUGUGUUGGGAGGAUUCAAAGAAGAUUAGAGCUCACCUAAGAAACAGUAUUCAAAUUUUACCAGCUAAUGGAGACCCAGAAAAAAGUGUUAAUGCCUAUAACUUUCCUCCAAGGGACGGAGAUUUCGGUAUUCUUAUAAAAACACAUUGAGCUGAUUUCA